GGCGAAAGCCGCGAUUAAAUCUCACGCUCCGGCGCUAUAUUCGCUCGCCGUCAUUCAAUUUAACGGCAGCGGUGGCUCUAAGAGCGACAAGGAUCUCCAGGCAGGCGUAGCGCUCUGUGCUCGAGCCGCUUUUCUCGGCCAUGUGGACGCACUUCGCGAACUCGGCCACUGCCUUCAAGACGGUUACGGUGUGAGACAAAACUCCGACGAAGGCCGCCGUCUCCUCAUCCAAGCCAACGCCCGUGAGCUUGCUGCGGUUCUACUCUCCUCCUCGAGUAUAUGGCAGCAACAGCGCCACCACCAGUUUGGCAACCUCCCUGAUUUGACGGCGACGCGUUGUUCAUUGCUGAGCGAUUUUGGGUGUAACGUUCCGGCGCCGGAACCACAUCCGGUGAACCUGUUUUUGAGAGAGUGGUUCGAGUC
This 423-nucleotide unclassified non-coding RNA is filed under the name Hevea brasiliensis (rubber tree). The record is from RNAcentral. Lineage: Eukaryota; Viridiplantae; Streptophyta; Magnoliopsida; Malpighiales; Euphorbiaceae.